This 1373-nucleotide ribosomal RNA is filed under the name uncultured bacterium. RNAcentral's name for it is "bacterial SSU rRNA". It matches the Rfam family "Bacterial small subunit ribosomal RNA", at positions 28 to 1381 of the family's 1533-position model. The record is from RNAcentral.
GAUGAACGCUGGCGGCGUGCCUAAUACAUGCAAGUCGAGCGAACGGACGAGAAGCUUGCUUUUCUGAUGUUAGCGGCGGACGGGUGAGUAACACGUGGAUAACCUACCUAUAAGACUGGGAUAACUUCGGGAAACCGGAGCUAAUACCGGAUAAUAUUUUGAACCGCAUGGUUCAAAAGUGAAAGACGGUCUUGCUGUCACUUAUAGAUGGAUCCGCGCUGCAUUAGCUAGUUGGUAAGGUAACGGCUUACCAAGGCAACGAUGCAUAGCCGACCUGAGAGGGUGAUCGGCCACACUGGAACUGAGACACGGUCCAGACUCCUACGGGAGGCAGCAGUAGGGAAUCUUCCGCAAUGGGCGAAAGCCUGACGGAGCAACGCCGCGUGAGUGAUGAAGGUCUUCGGAUCGUAAAACUCUGUUAUUAGGGAAGAACAUAUGUGUAAGUAACUGUGCACAUCUUGACGGUACCUAAUCAGAAAGCCACGGCUAACUACGUGCCAGCAGCCGCGGUAAUACGUAGGUGGCAAGCGUUAUCCGGAAUUAUUGGGCGUAAAGCGCGCGUAGGCGGUUUUUUAAGUCUGAUGUGAAAGCCCACGGCUCAACCGUGGAGGGUCAUUGGAAACUGGAAAACUUGAGUGCAGAAGAGGAAAGUGGAAUUCCAUGUGUAGCGGUGAAAUGCGCAGAGAUAUGGAGGAACACCAGUGGCGAAGGCGACUUUCUGGUCUGUAACUGACGCUGAUGUGCGAAAGCGUGGGGAUCAAACAGGAUUAGAUACCCUGGUAGUCCACGCCGUAAACGAUGAGUGCUAAGUGUUAGGGGGUUUCCGCCCCUUAGUGCUGCAGCUAACGCAUUAAGCACUCCGCCUGGGGAGUACGACCGCAAGGUUGAAACUCAAAGGAAUUGACGGGGACCCGCACAAGCGGUGGAGCAUGUGGUUUAAUUCGAAGCAACGCGAAGAACCUUACCAAAUCUUGACAUCCUUUGACAACUCUAGAGAUAGAGCUUUCCCCUUCGGGGGACAAAGUGACAGGUGGUGCAUGGUUGUCGUCAGCUCGUGUCGUGAGAUGUUGGGUUAAGUCCCGCAACGAGCGCAACCCUUAAGCUUAGUUGCCAUCAUUAAGUUGGGCACUCUAAGUUGACUGCCGGUGACAAACCGGAGGAAGGUGGGGAUGACGUCAAAUCAUCAUGCCCCUUAUGAUUUGGGGUACACACGUGCUACAAUGGACACUACAAAGGGCAGCGAAACCGCGAGGUCGCGCAAAUCCCAUAAAGUUGUUCUCAGUUCGGAUAGUAGUCUGCAACUCGACUACACGAAGCUGGAAUCGCUAGUAAUAGUAGAUCCACCUGCUACGGUGAAUAACGUCCCGGGGUCU